AAAUUGAAGAGUUUGAUCAUGGCUCAGAUUGAACGCUGGCGGCAGGCCUAACACAUGCAAGUCGAACGGUAACAGAAAGCAGCUUGCUGCUUUGCUGACGAGUGGCGGACGGGUGAGUAAUGUCUGGGAAACUGCCUGAUGGAGGGGGAUAACUACUGGAAACGGUAGCUAAUACCGCAUAACGUCGCAAGACCAAAGAGGGGGACCUUCGGGCCUCUUGCCAUCGGAUGUGCCCAGAUGGGAUUAGCUAGUAGGUGGGGUAAAGGCUCACCUAGGCGACGAUCCUUAGCUGGUCUGAGAGGAUGACCAGCCACACUGGAACUGAGACACGGUCCAGACUCCUACGGGAGGCAGCAGUGGGGAAUAUUGCACAAUGGGCGCAAGCCUGAUG
This 391-nucleotide ribosomal RNA is filed under the name Escherichia coli. RNAcentral describes it as "bacterial SSU rRNA". It matches the Rfam family "Bacterial small subunit ribosomal RNA", at positions 1 to 388 of the family's 1533-position model. The record is from RNAcentral. Lineage: Bacteria; Pseudomonadati; Pseudomonadota; Gammaproteobacteria; Enterobacterales; Enterobacteriaceae.